GCCUGGAUCCGGGGGAACUGGAGACGUGUGGGCUUUUCCAUGAGGAAGAAGAAACAGAAGGGACACAAGGCCAUUCUCAGGUGAAAGAGACACAGAGGUCGUCCACUUUGGAGGACAUGGCACACGAUGCGCAGACAGACAGCAAAUUACAGUCCACAGGUUCUGUUUGUGACGUCUCUAAGGUGAGGAGGUGUUCAUGUCCGUCAUUUAAAGUUCAAGUAUAUGGUAUAAUAUAUAUAUAUAUAUAUAAUAUACCAUAAUGGUAAUUGAGUCUGAUGUUGCUUUAUUAUAGCCCUGGAGCUUCCAGCCAUGCUAUCUAAUUCAUAUUUUUUAGCUGAAGUUUCACCAUAGUAUGAUUCGUAGUCAUUAAUUUGGACAUACUGAUUUAAAUCUUACUAUGGUACAUUUUUGACUCUUAAAUAUUAAUUAAGUGUUAUGUUGUACUGUGACCACCCUAGAGCAUCCAUCGUUACCAUAAUACGAUUAGUACAUAUUAAUUUAAUCAUACUGACGUUGGCACUCAGUUAGAAAAUGUAAGAUUCCAACUAUGUUUUAGGUCAUAAAUAUUAAUUACUUUAUUCCUAGGGUUGCUUUGUAGCUUUUCUGAAGUGUUUGAUUAUGUUAACUAAUUAAUAUUAAAGAACUGGACCUUUGCCAGUUUUGGACAGGGUGUUGUCUCACUCAACUAGGGUUAUCUGUAACCUCUUUGUUCUUGUCCCUUCUGACUUCAGAUCGCAGCAAGCAAAAAACAAAAAUAGAACUGUGUUGAAUAAAAAAUCUGUUUCCAAACCUUCCAAUCAUGAACCCAGCCUCCGCUCAGGCCGCUCUCUUCAGGAAGCUCCAGCUAGACAUAUGAGGGCCUCUGGAGAAAGAGCUGCCAUCUCUGUGCCUGUUAGAAAAGACCUGCUGACUUCACCUCCAGAGGCCAAGAGCAAAGACCCUUUUGGGUCUUUUUACAACAACAGGUUGAGGAGGAUGCCCCAGGUUUUCUGUAAGACUUACAAGAAAUCCAAGCCCAGCUCCACAGAAGCGAUCGUGCUGUCCAGCGAUGAUGAAGGAGCUGAAGAGAUGAAUGACGUGUCUGGAAGUUUGCAAGGGCAGCGGAACUCAGGGACGCUCAGGUAACGGAUAAAGAAUGGGUGUAGAUUUCAAAAAUAUGCCCCUAUUGACUACAUGUCAUAAACAUAUACAUUUAUCUAUUGAGCGCAUGCUUUCAUCCAAGUCAAAUUACAAAUGAUAAAUGUUUAAUGCUGUUUGUGGUUAUCCACUCACUCACCUUAUUAACAUUGAGAAUGUAAAUAUUAUAAGAUAAACCAUGAUUAUUAAAAUAUUGUAAGAAUUUUGCAGCUGUAGAUAUGAUAAAAUAAGUAUUGUGUGGUUUUUGGCUUUUUUUUAAACUUUUUUUAUAAAAGCAUGGCUCUAACAAAUGCAGAUGAGUUUUAAACACAUUUAAACACAUUAAAAAUGCAUAGUAAUAUAUAUAUCUAUCUAUCUAUACAUAUAUAUACACAGCGUAUUAAGUUAAUGUAUCCUUGCUGAAUAAAAUAAUUAAAAUCUUAUUGAAUGGUAGUGUA
Cyprinus carpio (common carp) is the source of this 1574-nucleotide long non-coding RNA. NCBI's taxonomy places the organism in Eukaryota, Metazoa, Chordata, Actinopteri, Cypriniformes, Cyprinidae. The record is from Ensembl.